Molecule: ribosomal RNA, 480 nt
Filed under: uncultured bacterium
Lineage: Bacteria
Description: bacterial SSU rRNA
Rfam family: Bacterial small subunit ribosomal RNA
Source: RNAcentral
GGAUUAGGCAUGCAAGUCGAACGAGAACCCCGCAAGGGGUGAAAGUGGCAAACGGCGUAGUAAGGCGUAGGUGACGUACCUCCCGAUUCAGGAUAGCUACGGGAAACUGUAGGUAAUACUGGAUAACCCCUCCGAGAUUGAAAAUCGGAGUGCAAAGGUGUGAUUCCGUCAGGAGAGCGGCUUACGUGGUAUUAGCUAGUUGGUGAGGUAAUGGCUCACCAAGGCUUCGAUGCCUAGGGGGUGUUAGCGCAUGACCCCCACGACUGGGACCGAGAUACUGCCCAGACACCUACGGGUGGCUGCAGUCGAGAAUCUUCGGCAAUGGGCGCAAGCCUGACCGAGCGACGCCGCGUGUGGGAUGAAGGCCCUUGGGUUGUAAACCACUGUCAGAGGGGAUGAAAUGCGGGUGGGUUCUCCCAUCCGUUUGACAUAGCCUCAGAGGAAGCACGGGCUAAGUUCGUGCCAGCAGCCGCGGUAAUA